AUGAUUUCCCAAAGUGUUAGAGCUGAAGUGUGUUUCCUUGUGUAUAUAUACUGUGGUUCCUUUAUCCCUUCAUCUGUGGAUAGACAGGUGCAACCGUGUGGUUCCCCACGAUAUGAUUUCAUUGUGGUUUUCUGUCUGAAGAGUAUCCCAGUAUGUACCUGUGGAGCAGCUUCUUUAUCCCUUCAUCUGUGGAUAAGCAGGUCAUGUCCUCCAGGUUUCUGCACGUUGCUGCAGAUGACAUGAUUUCAUGAAUUUCUGCGGCCGAAGAGGAUUCCACUGCGUGCUGCAGUUUCUUUAUCCCUUUAUCUGUGCAUGAACAGUGCAGGCCAAGGCCCCCUGCCCAUGGAGGUGUGCUGCAGACAGCAGCAGCAGCAGCAGCAGCAGCAGCAGCAGCAGCAGAGGCCUGGCUUCCUGAGGAAUUGCUGGCCGGUUUGAGGAAGGAAGGAAGUCCCACCUACCAUGAUCACCCUCCAGCCUGGAGGAAGCUCCAUGCCAGCAGCAUGGACCAGCAUGGGAGCCAGAGCCCUGCUAAUGCUGCAGCUCAUCACCCCUGCUCAGCAGCCCAGCAGCCCAGCAGCCAUUGCCACAUCCCAUUUCCAGGGCCUCCUGCCCCCAUGCCCCCACGUGCCCAUGGACCGACACACCACUCUUCCUGUUGGCCCAAGGUAGGCAUGGAGGGAAUUUUUCAAGUCCACUUUUAGUAGGUAAGUCAAAACCAAACAAAAUAACCACUCGACACCUGGUCCAAUGCCCUUCCAAACUCACUCUUUUCUCUGACCCUUAAACACUUGUCCUGCAUCUCCCAGACUCCACUGUACCUUGAUCAGUAGGUCCCUCUUCACUGCAGUGUCUUUUUUGCAGAGUUCUUUUAGCUCUUUCAUGCUUUUGCUAUGGGCAGAGGAAAGAAAGAAGGGUAAAUUUGGGAAUCAGGGGAGAUUUGUGAGUUCCAGUCCCUUUUGUUUGAAAACCCAGUGAAUCCCAGCUUACUGGGUGAGAGUUUUCAGUGGAGUCCUCUGAUCACAGGGGCUCCAGAGGACCAGGGUGGGACCUCUCAUGCUCCUCCCCUGGGCCCCAUCUCCACUUCACAUGAGCCACUGCGUGUUUACAGUUAGCUUUCAGCUGGACACAGAGUUCCACUGCUGGGUACAAACACCUGAAAGCCUCCAGUUGGCUCCAGUCUGUUCCUGAUGGUUAAAAAACCUUAGUCCUGAGUUGGAAAUCCUUGCCUAGGAGUCCAGGGCAGCUUAGUGACCACAGCCACCGGCCCAUCCCUGCCUCCAGUGUCCCUGGACUCCAAGAACCUUUCAGAGUCAUUGAGGGCACAUGGGGGGAGACCUGUGAGUCCCUAGGUCAACCCUGAUGCUGCCAUGGAGAGAGCCCUCCUCACCUGGACACUCCUGCCCACGUCUUGUGUAGCUGACCUAUUGGGUUGCUGCACAGAGCAGAGACGAUGACGUGCACCGAGGAGAAGUUGUUGAGGCUUAGGCACUCCUGGAGAGGGAAGAAUGAGCUGUGCGGUUCAGAGUUGGAGCUUGGCCCACUACAGCCUCAGCCCCCUCUGCUGAGAUCUCCCCUCCUGGAUGAAGCAGAGGCCUGGGGAGCCUCAGGAGGGCAGACCUGGGGCCGAGUGGAUGUCACUCAUCUAGGAGGAUUUUAGUUCAACCCAAGGAAGACCCCAGGUCGGAAGUGAGCAGCCACCACUGGGCCGUGGGAGUCAAGUCUGGAGAAACAGCUACGGCCAUCCCAGCCCUGGCCAAGGGGAAAAUGCCGGAAGACUCCAGGGUGGGAGGAAGCGCGUCCCAAGGCCCAGGAUCUGCGAGGCGACUUGGGGAAAACGCAGGACCUGCUGAAGCUCACACCCGUGGACCACCCAGACUGCCUGCCGCUACAGGAUGCCCUCCGCAUCUCCCAGGACUUCUUUCCGGCAUCAGUGUGGACAUUGACCCCACUGGACUGCAGUCACAGUGGACUCCCAAGGGGCAGGAUCCACCUCUGAUGUUCAGUGAAGACUACCAGAAAAGUCUGCUAGAGCAGUACCAUCUGGGUCUGGAUCAAAAACUCAGAAAAUACGUGGUUGGAGAGCUCAUCUGGAAUUUUGCCGAUUUCAUGACUAACCAGUGUCAGCCCAAGACUACCCCGUCGGUCAUUCUGUUCCUGCCGUCCUGUGAGGAGCCCCAAGCCAACAAGGCCACACUGGUGUGUCUCAUGAAUAACUUUAUCCGGGAAUCUUGAUGGUGACCUGGAAGGCAGAUGGUACCCUCAUCACCCAGAGCGUGGAGAAGACCACGCCCUCCAAACAGAGCAACAACAAGUACGUGGCCAGCAGCUACCUGAGCCUGACGCCCGAGCAGUGGAGGUCCCGCAGAAGCUACAGCUGCCAGGUUAUGCAAGAAGGGAGCACCGUGGAGAAGUCAGUGGCCCCUGCAGAAUGUUCAUAGGUUCCAGCCCCCACCCCACCCACAGGGGCCUGGAGCUGCAGGAUCCCAGGGGAGGGGUCUCUCUCUGCAUCCCAAGCCAUUCAGCCCUUCUCGCUGUACCCAGUAAACCCUCAAUAAAUAUCUUUGUCAGCC
Molecule: long non-coding RNA, 2570 nt
Filed under: Homo sapiens (human)
Lineage: Eukaryota; Metazoa; Chordata; Mammalia; Primates; Hominidae
Description: non-protein coding lnc-IGLL1-1:27
Source: RNAcentral